This is a long non-coding RNA of Cucurbita maxima (winter squash), 543 nucleotides long. RefSeq lists it as uncharacterized. The record is from RefSeq and is a predicted model, not a curated record. The transcript is spliced from 2 exons. Lineage: Eukaryota; Viridiplantae; Streptophyta; Magnoliopsida; Cucurbitales; Cucurbitaceae.
CUCUACUACUGUCUAAUAUGUGUUAUGCUUCGCUCCUGUCUUUCAUGUAUUCCCCCUCUACAUCAUGUUAUCAUAUAAGAAUGUCAAAUAAGAACGAUUUGUUCAUCAUUUUGUGCUUCAGAAUGGUCCAAGACCCUCCUUACCUCAAAUACAACUCAGAUUGAACCUAGCAUCAGGACAUAACAUUUCUGCUGAGGGGAGACCAAGGGUAGCAGACUUAGAUGAAGUGGUGCCUCGAGAAGGGCAAAGAUGCAACCAGCAAGAUAAAUUUGGCCCAGAAAGGAAAAGGUGCAAGAUAUUGACUCAGAAACUUUUAGAUCCUAAGCCCGUUGAGAAUUGUUGGGAUCAGUGUAUCAACUCCAAAGAUAUCACGACUCAUCAAAGAUCUCGCAAAAAGAAGACACUAGUUGAGACCGAUGACGAUUUUCUAACUUGAAGGCAAUGAAAUGGUUUAGGUGUAAAGUUUGAAUGUCAUUUUGUAAAUGAAAUUCCCUCAUCUAUUUUGUUUAUAAUUCUUAUUUAGUCUAUAACCAUUUUGGUUCA